AUUGAACGCUGGCGGCAUGCCUUACACAUGCAAGUCGAACGGCAGCACGGGAGCAAUCCUGGUGGCGAGUGGCGAACGGGUGAGUAAUGUAUCGGAACGUGCCCAGUCGUGGGGGAUAACGUAGCGAAAGCUACGCUAAUACCGCAUACGAUCUAUGGAUGAAAGCGGGGGAUCGCAAGACCUCGCGCGAUUGGAGCGGCCGAUAUCAGAUUAGGUAGUUGGUGGGGUAAAGGCUCACCAAGCCGACGAUCUGUAGCUGGUCUGAGAGGACGACCAGCCACGCGGGGACUGAGACACGGCCCAGACUCCUACGGGAGGCAGCAGUGGGGAAUUUUGGACAAUGGGCGCAAGCCUGAUCCAGCAAUGCCGCGUGCAGGAUGAAGGCCUUCGGGUUGUAAACUGCUUUCGUACGGAACGAAACGGCGAGCUCUAAUACAGUUUGCUAAUGACGGUACCGUAAGAAUAAGCACCGGCUAACUACGUGCCAGCAGCCGCCGUAA
This 500-nucleotide ribosomal RNA is filed under the name uncultured bacterium. RNAcentral's name for it is "partial 16S ribosomal RNA". It matches the Rfam family "Bacterial small subunit ribosomal RNA", at positions 30 to 523 of the family's 1533-position model. The record is from RNAcentral.